CGAGUGGCGCACGGGUGAGUAACGCGUAUGCAAUCUACCUAUAACUGAGGAAUAGCCCAGAGAAAUUUGGAUUAAUACCUCAUAAUAUUAUUAUUUGGCAUCAUUUAAUAAUUAAAACUCCGGUGGUUAUAGAUGAGCAUGCGUUCUAUUAGUUUGUUGGUGAGGUAAAAGCUCACCAAGACUACGAUAGAUAGGGGGCCUGAAAGGGUGAUCCCCCACACUGGUACUGAGACACGGACCAGACUCC
This 247-nucleotide ribosomal RNA is filed under the name uncultured bacterium. Its description in RNAcentral is "partial 16S ribosomal RNA". It matches the Rfam family "Bacterial small subunit ribosomal RNA", at positions 92 to 339 of the family's 1533-position model. The record is from RNAcentral.